GCGCCCGUAGCUCAGUUGGAUAGAGUACUUGGCUUCGAACCAAGGGGUCGGGAGUUCGAAUCUCUCCGGGCGCGCCA
Molecule: transfer RNA, 77 nt
Filed under: Burkholderiales bacterium
Lineage: Bacteria; Pseudomonadati; Pseudomonadota; Betaproteobacteria; Burkholderiales
Also listed under: 3 other names
Description: tRNA-Arg
Rfam family: tRNA
About the family: Transfer RNA (tRNA) molecules are approximately 80 nucleotides in length.
Source: RNAcentral